GAUGAACGCUGGCGGCGUGCCUAAUACAUGCAAGUCGAGCGAACAGAUCAGUAGCUUGCUCCUCUCUCGUUAGCCGCACAGGGGAGUGUCACGCGUGGGUAACCUACUUUUCAUACUGGGAUAACUUCGGGACACGGGCGAUUAUCCCGUAUAAUAUCUUGUACCGCAUUGUUCAGUAGUGCAUGUCGGUUUUGCUGUCACCUCUAGACGGAUCCGCGCCGCAUUAGCUGGUUGGUAAGGUAACGCCUUACCGGGUCAACGAUCGGAAGCCGACCUGAGAGGGUGAUAGGCCACACUGGAGCUUGGACACGGUCCAGACUCCUACGGGAGGCAGCAGUAGGGAAUGUUCCGCAAUGGGCGAGAACUUGACGGAGCAGCGGCGCGUGAGUGAUGAAGGUCUUCGGAUCGUAAAACUCUGUUAUUAGUGGAAAACAAAUGUGUCAGUAACUAUGCACUUCUUGACGGUACCUGAUCAGAAAGCCACGGCUAACUACGUG
This 497-nucleotide ribosomal RNA is filed under the name uncultured bacterium. RNAcentral describes it as "partial 16S ribosomal RNA". It matches the Rfam family "Bacterial small subunit ribosomal RNA", at positions 28 to 507 of the family's 1533-position model. The record is from RNAcentral.